Molecule: long non-coding RNA, 1153 nt
Organism: Tupaia belangeri chinensis (Chinese tree shrew)
Lineage: Eukaryota; Metazoa; Chordata; Mammalia; Scandentia; Tupaiidae
Exons: 3
Source: RefSeq, a predicted model, not a curated record
AACAAGAACAGGACCAUGAAGCAAAGUGGAGUGAGUGUUUCAUCAGAGGGAACCUAAGACAUUUCCAAGGGGACUACAUUCCUCAUGCUAUAAGAUUUCAGGUGGUGGCUUUAAAGUUUAAAGGGACCAGCAUCGCUCUGGGAUUCUGGGCUGGGAAGAGGAGCUUACCACACCUCUUGGUUACAGGGAUACAUACUCACUCCCUCGCACUGAGCCACCAGAGAGCAGCUCCACCAGCCACUGCUGAAACAGGAGGUGGUGUUAAUUUUGAAAAUGAUCCAUGCUGUAAUGUCAUGAACCAGGAAGCUGGAAUCCUUUACCAGUUCUUUAUGCAAAUAUUUGACUGCAGCUUGAGCUGAAGGACUAGGAAGGAGUGGGUUUAAAAAAAUCUCCUUCAUUGUAGAGCUCUCAUUAACCCUGGUCCUCCCCUGGACUGGCCUGUUUGCCUGCCUCCCCUGUUAUCUCCCUGAGGAAAAGCUGUGGAAAUACACCCGGAUCGAAAUGCCCCUGGCCCGCGUGACCCGACCCCAGGAGAAGCAGCCGAGUUACCAGACAUCGUGGUCAGCAGGAGCUGGGUCGGUGGCUGGGUGCUGCAGCUGCAGGGACUCAGCGCCUAGGAGGGCUCCUGUGCAAGGAGAGAAGCAGAGAUGCCACAUUUUUAAAGUUUCACAAAGCAUCCGGCUGCACCCAGGUCCCUGGAGCAGGAGACAAACAGAAUUAAUGUUUUAUACCUUCGGGUAUAGGUUUGAGUUUUUUCCCCCUCAUGCCAAGUAUUUAAAACCUCUAGAAACCCAUGAUUUGACAAUCAAUGAUUGCGCGAUACUUUCAAUUUGAAUAUUCAAAGGCUUAACAAAAUGGACUAUCUUCUGCAGAAAACCUGCACACAGGCACCCCACAGGGAGUCCAGAGAAACAGAGAGUGAGACCCCUUGGGGUCUUGGUCCUUGCUUUUGUUGUAUUUUGAGCAUUUUGUCCACCUUCCUACCGACAGAGCAGGCCUUCUCAAAGAUGCUCUGUAUUUCUGCCUCAAAGGCAGCUCAGGAGCUGGGGGUGACUUAGGCUGACCCCCCCAUGAUCACCUGAGCCAGGCCAGGUGGCCAGACUGACCCCCACCUCACCAAUCUCCUUUUUAAGGGAAAAUCUCAGGUUUGGGG